RNAcentral lists this ribosomal RNA (2930 nucleotides) under Bacillus paranthracis. RNAcentral describes it as "23S ribosomal RNA". It matches the Rfam family "Bacterial large subunit ribosomal RNA". The record is from RNAcentral. Lineage: Bacteria; Bacillati; Bacillota; Bacilli; Caryophanales; Bacillaceae.
UUUGGUUAAGUUAGAAAGGGCGCACGGUGGAUGCCUUGACACUAGGAGUCGAUGAAGGACGGGACUAACGCCGAUAUGCUUCGGGGAGCUGUAAGUAAGCUUUGAUCCGAAGAUUUCCGAAUGGGGAAACCCACCAUACGUAAUGGUAUGGUAUCCUUAUCUGAAUACAUAGGGUAAGGAAGACAGACCCAGGGAACUGAAACAUCUAAGUACCUGGAGGAAGAGAAAGCAAAUGCGAUUUCCUGAGUAGCGGCGAGCGAAACGGAACAUAGCCCAAACCAAGAGGCUUGCCUCUUGGGGUUGUAGGACAUUCUAUACGGAGUUACAAAGGAACGAGGUAGACGAAGCGACCUGGAAAGGUCCGUCGUAGAGGGUAACAACCCCGUAGUCGAAACUUCGUUCUCUCUUGAAUGUAUCCUGAGUACGGCGGAACACGUGAAAUUCCGUCGGAAUCUGGGAGGACCAUCUCCCAAGGCUAAAUACUCCCUAGUGAUCGAUAGUGAACCAGUACCGUGAGGGAAAGGUGAAAAGCACCCCGGAAGGGGAGUGAAAGAGAUCCUGAAACCGUGUGCCUACAAAUAGUCAGAGCCCGUUAACGGGUGAUGGCGUGCCUUUUGUAGAAUGAACCGGCGAGUUACGAUCCCGUGCGAGGUUAAGCUGAAGAGGCGGAGCCGCAGCGAAAGCGAGUCUGAAUAGGGCGUUUAGUACGUGGUCGUAGACCCGAAACCAGGUGAUCUACCCAUGUCCAGGGUGAAGUUCAGGUAACACUGAAUGGAGGCCCGAACCCACGCACGUUGAAAAGUGCGGGGAUGAGGUGUGGGUAGCGGAGAAAUUCCAAUCGAACCUGGAGAUAGCUGGUUCUCCCCGAAAUAGCUUUAGGGCUAGCCUUAAGUGUAAGAGUCUUGGAGGUAGAGCACUGAUUGGACUAGGGGUCCUCAUCGGAUUACCGAAUUCAGUCAAACUCCGAAUGCCAAUGACUUAUCCUUAGGAGUCAGACUGCGAGUGAUAAGAUCCGUAGUCAAAAGGGAAACAGCCCAGACCGCCAGCUAAGGUCCCAAAGUGUGUAUUAAGUGGAAAAGGAUGUGGAGUUGCUUAGACAACUAGGAUGUUGGCUUAGAAGCAGCCACCAUUUAAAGAGUGCGUAAUAGCUCACUAGUCGAGUGACUCUGCGCCGAAAAUGUACCGGGGCUAAAUACACCACCGAAGCUGCGGAUUGAUACCGAAUGGUAUCAGUGGUAGGGGAGCGUUCUAAGGACAGUGAAGUCAGACCGGAAGGACUGGUGGAGUGCUUAGAAGUGAGAAUGCCGGUAUGAGUAGCGAAAGACGGGUGAGAAUCCCGUCCACCGAAUGCCUAAGGUUUCCUGAGGAAGGCUCGUCCGCUCAGGGUUAGUCAGGACCUAAGCCGAGGCCGACAGGCGUAGGCGAUGGACAACAGGUUGAUAUUCCUGUACCACCUCUUUAUCGUUUGAGCAAUGGAGGGACGCAGAAGGAUAGAAGAAGCGUGCGAUUGGUUGUGCACGUCCAAGCAGUUAGGCUGAUAAGUAGGCAAAUCCGCUUAUCGUAAAGGCUGAGCUGUGAUGGGGAAGCUCCUUAUGGAGCGAAGUCUUUGAUUCCCCGCUGCCAAGAAAAGCUUCUAGCGAGAUAAAAGGUGCCUGUACCGCAAACCGACACAGGUAGGCGAGGAGAGAAUCCUAAGGUGUGCGAGAGAACUCUGGUUAAGGAACUCGGCAAAAUGACCCCGUAACUUCGGGAGAAGGGGUGCUUUCUUAACGGAAAGCCGCAGUGAAUAGGCCCAAGCGACUGUUUAGCAAAAACACAGCUCUCUGCGAAGCCGUAAGGCGAAGUAUAGGGGGUGACACCUGCCCGGUGCUGGAAGGUUAAGGAGAGGGGUUAGCGUAAGCGAAGCUCUGAACUGAAGCCCCAGUAAACGGCGGCCGUAACUAUAACGGUCCUAAGGUAGCGAAAUUCCUUGUCGGGUAAGUUCCGACCCGCACGAAAGGUGUAACGAUUUGGGCACUGUCUCAACCAGAGACUCGGUGAAAUUAUAGUACCUGUGAAGAUGCAGGUUACCCGCGACAGGACGGAAAGACCCCGUGGAGCUUUACUGUAGCCUGAUAUUGAAUUUUGGUACAGUUUGUACAGGAUAGGCGGGAGCCUUUGAAACCGGAGCGCUAGCUUCGGUGGAGGCGCUGGUGGGAUACCGCCCUGACUGUAUUGAAAUUCUAACCUACGGGUCUUAUCGACCCGGGAGACAGUGUCAGGUGGGCAGUUUGACUGGGGCGGUCGCCUCCUAAAAUGUAACGGAGGCGCCCAAAGGUUCCCUCAGAAUGGUUGGAAAUCAUUCGUAGAGUGCAAAGGCAUAAGGGAGCUUGACUGCGAGACCUACAAGUCGAGCAGGGACGAAAGUCGGGCUUAGUGAUCCGGUGGUUCCGCAUGGAAGGGCCAUCGCUCAACGGAUAAAAGCUACCCCGGGGAUAACAGGCUUAUCUCCCCCAAGAGUCCACAUCGACGGGGAGGUUUGGCACCUCGAUGUCGGCUCAUCGCAUCCUGGGGCUGUAGUCGGUCCCAAGGGUUGGGCUGUUCGCCCAUUAAAGCGGUACGCGAGCUGGGUUCAGAACGUCGUGAGACAGUUCGGUCCCUAUCCGUCGUGGGCGUAGGAAAUUUGAGAGGAGCUGUCCUUAGUACGAGAGGACCGGGAUGGACGCACCGCUGGUGUACCAGUUGUUCUGCCAAGGGCAUAGCUGGGUAGCUAUGUGCGGAAGGGAUAAGUGCUGAAAGCAUCUAAGCAUGAAGCCCCCCUCAAGAUGAGAUUUCCCAUAGCGUAAGCUAGUAAGAUCCCUGAAAGAUGAUCAGGUUGAUAGGUUCGAGGUGGAAGCAUGGUGACAUGUGGAGCUGACGAAUACUAAUAGAUCGAGGACUUAACCAUAUAA